GAAGAGAAACCUAGUGGUGUUCUUAUUUUCUUUAAUCAGUGAUGAAUAGUAAGAUCUUCUAGCUUUACUGAUGGCUUUCUUAUUAAGCAGCACACUAUUUUUCCAGGCUACAUGAUGAUCUUCUAAAUUAGUGAUACGCCUUUUCCUCUCCAGCUUACAAGUUAUCUGCUUCAUGGUGCGCAUUUUAAAGUUAUACCAGGGAGUCAAGCACUUCUGAUUUGAGGCUCUUUUUCACAGGAGCUACAGUAUCCAGAGUCAUACGUUGUGAAGAGGUAACAUUAUUAACAAGAUAAUCGACCUCUAUUGGUGUAGCGUUCAGGUAGCUGCUCUGCUCUGUGUUGAUAUAGGUCAUUGAAGAAGAUAACAGUGGGUGGAUUAUAUUCUUAAAUUUAGUUACAGCUCUUUCAGAAAAACAUCUACUGUGAUGACAUCUGUUCCUCACUGCUGUGUAAUCCAUUACUGUAAAUGUAAAUGUUUUGGUGUUCACUGUUUGCCUGCUGUAUCAGGAAUAAAUGAAAAGAAGAUGAAUUACCUCAGCUUAUUUUUUGGCUCAGUAAUAUUGAUGAUCAGCUUUGAAUGCCUAAUAAGGUUUUGGAGGGUCAGAGGACAUUCACUGAUUUAUUGAAUUAUUUGUUGAUUCUUUGAUUUUAAACUGCAUCAAACACAUUGUCACAGUUUGGACAUUUAAAACGUCUCGCAGGAGCUGAGAGUCUUCGUCAGCACUGAAAACACAGGGCGUCAUAAGAGGAAUGAGAAAAAUGUCAAAUCCAGCCAUUAGGAGCAGAGUGUGGGCGGGGCUUUCAUCAGGAAACUGAAGGAAUGAAGUGGUUUCUGUUCAACCGGUCAAGGCGCACACGUCUGCUGAGUUUACUGACUUCUGUUAAACACAGUUUCCUGUUUGGUUUUUAAAAGUUUACCAGAAAUUAAAUGCACGACUUCCUGCAUGUGAUCACACAUAUUGAUCAUCUGGCACGCGCGCUCUCGCUCUCACACACAGACACACACACACAAGCCCGUUCAGCUAUCUUAGUGAGGACCUUCAUUGAAAUAAUCCUUUCCCUGGCCCCUAACCCUAAACAUUAAAAAUGACCCUAACGCCGUCAAAUUUGUGAAGACCGGUUUGUGCGCCCUCACAGUGACUGUUGGUUCUCCCAAGUACAAUAGAAUGCAGAUUUCGGUCCUCACAAAGACAGCUAGACAGGAACACACACACACACACACACACACACAGAAAACACAUGCACAGCAAAAAAUGACAUUAAAUGAAGUCAAAUUCAAAUAGAGACCAACUUAUAGUUUGCGUUUGGUGGGGGGGGCACCGAAACCACAGCGAGGAGGUGGUGUCGGGUUUGCAGUGACAGUGGUCGAGUUACAUAGAAAAUGAACAGAGGGAGAGAGAGGGCGUGUCGGCCGGUAGAACAGGUUUGGGCGAGGCGGUCAAGCGAGCUUCACACACAUAGUGAGCCAGAAUGAGAGAGAGCAGAGUCAGAUUUGUUUCCAUUUCAGAGAAGAAGAAGAACACGGCGGCGGCGACCGAGGAACAUACAGGUCUCUUCCUGCACUGCAUUAACUGAUUGGCCAGCUGCCUGAUUGGACAUAAUUUUAGCCUCACCGUCUUGUGACGUGUCAGCAUGUCCUCAAAUAUCAACGUCUCUCUGGAGAACCCCUACGGUCAGGUAACUAUUCCACGGGCUAAGCUCCACUCUUCCAGUGACUCCACAGUGAUAGCCAAUCCGAUGGUUAUUACCAGCAAUGAGAACCCGUACCAAGUGUCGAGCUCCGCCCCCCCACCAUACACGGUGAAGGAGGAUGGAGGGGGGGAUGAUGAAGGGGGGAGCUGCCGUGCCUGCUGCUACCGUUGCAGGAGAAAGAAGUGACAUCAUCGCUGCAGAGCGUGAUGUCAUAACAGUAGAAGGAUUGUGACUGGCUCAGAUUUAUUUAUUUGCUCUUCUAGAGGAAACAAGGAUGGAAGGAAAUGAGGAAACAAUGAAUGAAGGAGGGAAGGAAAUUUCAUGAACUGGAGGAUGUUUUCUCGCUGUGGCCAUUUUGUGUCUCAAAUACUUCACUUACAAGUUUGUGAAGCUCAAACCUCCACCCCUCACCACCAUCCCUACCCAGAACUGGGAUUUCAGAGGCCAUGGGGACUUGUGUGGUUACAAACACUUGAGGGGUCAUGGCGUCUUUGUGGUGCCCUGCGGACUUCGGGGAUCACAGGGACUUUUGGGACUCGGGGUCUUUAUGGGGUCCUGGGUUUUUUUUGCCCUUGAUGGUAUUUUUAUUUUUUUACUGGCAGUUUUAUAUCAAUACAUAUAAAAAAAUAUUGGGGAGAUGAUUUUUAGACACAAAAUGGCCACCACUGAACCGCAGUUUCACUUCUGUGCCUUUGUCAAGAAACCUAUAGUUUUGAUGUUUUUCCUGUAAACAACAUUAGGUAUGAUUUUAUAGUGUUACUGGAUAUAAUCAAUAUGUUGGAUUAUAACUGAUUAUAUCUAAUAUCAGACAGAGGAUUGUUCUCCAAUGUUCUACAUGGUUAUAUAGUGAUGUUUGAAUUUUGUAGACAUUCAGAAUUCAGCUGAAAAAUCUUUAAAAUGUUCAAUUCAAUGAUUGAAACUUUAUUGAUUAUUACAAAAGUUCUUGAUCAUCACGAACUCCAAAUGAACUGAUCUAAAAAUAUUUUUUAUCAGGUUGUAAAAAAGCAGCUGUAAAUUAUACUGUUUGUUUUUCUUGAUGAUGAUGAACAUUUGUGUUUGUGUUUUUUUGUUGUUAUUUGUUGUUUUAUAUUUGACACAUAAUUGGCAUUAUUCUUGUUUUUUUUCUGUUUUCAUCACAGUGACUAUGCAAAUCAAAUGAAGCAAUCAGAGCACAGGUCAUCAUGUGGAAUAAAAUUUUAAAUUUAAAACUUCAUCUCUGUGGCUGCUCGCACAACAUUAAAGUCUCAGUAACAGCGAGCCAAACAUUUCUCUGCUUUUUAGAAUCAAUCAUUAAAGAUUUUAUGAUAAUCAUCAUUAAUUAUUGUUAAAAUAUAAAGUCACCAUUUAAUUAUUUUACUGUUAACAAUGAAACAAUUAUUGAUGAUGUAGUUGAUCAUAUAUUGUGAUCGGAGCUGAUAGGAGGCAGAACCCUGCCCAAUUUGGAUCUGCGACCUUUGAUUUGAUCCACAAGCAUAAACUAAGAUGUAUAACUCUGUACAAUGGCUUAUGUCACAAAUGUGUGCACCAAAACAUAAACACAAAUAAAAAAAAUUAUUUGAAGAUGUAAA
This is a long non-coding RNA of Haplochromis burtoni (Burton's mouthbrooder), 3259 nucleotides long. RefSeq lists it as uncharacterized. NCBI's taxonomy places the organism in Eukaryota, Metazoa, Chordata, Actinopteri, Cichliformes, Cichlidae. The record is from RefSeq and is a predicted model, not a curated record. The transcript has 2 exons.